This 253-nucleotide ribosomal RNA is filed under the name uncultured bacterium. Its description in RNAcentral is "partial 16S ribosomal RNA". It matches the Rfam family "Bacterial small subunit ribosomal RNA", at positions 524 to 776 of the family's 1533-position model. The record is from RNAcentral.
GACAGAGGGGGCAAGCGUUGCUCGGAAUUACUGGGCGUAAAGGGCGCGUAGGCGGGAUGGCAAGUCGGUCGUGAAAUCCCUGGGCUCAACUCAGGGGGGUCGGCCGAUACUGCCAUUCUUGAGGGAUGCAGAGGAGACUGGAAUUCCCGGUGUAGCGGUGAAAUGUGUAGAGAUCGGGAGGAACACCGGUGGCGAAGGCGGGUCUCUGGGCAUUCCCUGACGCUGAGGCGCGAAAGCGUGGGGAGCAAACAGG